This 632-nucleotide long non-coding RNA is filed under the name Equus caballus (horse). RNAcentral's name for it is "lncRNA (ENSECAG00000047345.1)". Lineage: Eukaryota; Metazoa; Chordata; Mammalia; Perissodactyla; Equidae. The record is from RNAcentral.
CCGGAGCCGGCCCUUCCCGCAGGCUCUCGUCCCGGCUUAUCCGGGUCAUCGGUGGCCCGGGGCCCGCCGGCGCGGAGCGUCCCUGGAAAGCUCCGAGGCACGUGGCGAAGGAGUGUUGUGAAGCGCUUAGGUGCUGGGUGCGGAGGUGGGAGAAAGGGCCGACGACGCUCCACACCCCGCUGCAGGCUCGGCCGCUCCCAGCCGGCGGGGAAAUCCCCGUCUAGUUGCAGGUCCUUCUAGUUGUGGGAUGUGGGAUGCUGCCUCAACGUGGCCUGAUGAGCGGUGCCAUGUCCGCGCCCAGGAUCCGAACCCCGGACCGCAGCAGCGGAGCGCGCAAACGUAACCACUCGGCCACGGAGCUGGCCCCAGAGAAUGUUUUAUCUUAUAGUUGGAAAAAAUGGCUGGUGCUCCGGGGUGCGAUCCUCUCGUGAGGCUGAGCUGCAGCAGCCGCAGCUCCCGGUCAGCCAUCCAGUCACGAGAGCACACGACAGAACCGCAUCUCAAUGUGUCUGUUAUCAAAGGUAAAUUGUGGUGUAUGUACUUGUUGGACUAUUAUAGGACCACUUAUUUAUUUAAAAAGUUUAAACUACAAAGAGUAUGUUCAUAAUAUGGCCUCAGUUAAAACAGUAAGG